RNAcentral lists this ribosomal RNA (763 nucleotides) under Polaribacter sp. FS12-1. RNAcentral describes it as "bacterial SSU rRNA". It matches the Rfam family "Bacterial small subunit ribosomal RNA", at positions 113 to 879 of the family's 1533-position model. The record is from RNAcentral. Lineage: Bacteria; Pseudomonadati; Bacteroidota; Flavobacteriia; Flavobacteriales; Flavobacteriaceae.
ACGCGUAUAGAACCUACCUUUUACAGGGGGAUAGCCUUUAGAAAUGAAGAUUAAUAUCCCAUAGUAUUACGAGAUGGCAUCAUUUUGUAAUUAAAGAUUUAUCGGUAAAAGAUGGCUAUGCGUUCUAUUAGUUAGUUGGUAAGGUAACGGCUUACCAAGACAGCGAUAGAUAGGGGUCCUGAGAGGGAGAUCCCCCACACUGGUACUGAGACACGGACCAGACUCCUACGGGAGGCAGCAGUGAGGAAUAUUGGGCAAUGGAGGAGACUCUGACCCAGCCAUGCCGCGUGUAGGAAGAAUGCCCUAUGGGUUGUAAACUACUUUUAUACAGGAAGAAACACUAGUACGUGUACUAGCUUGACGGUACUGUAAGAAUAAGGACCGGCUAACUCCGUGCCAGCAGCCGCGGUAAUACGGAGGGUCCAAGCGUUAUCCGGAAUCAUUGGGUUUAAAGGGUCCGCAGGCGGUCAAUUAAGUCAGAGGUGAAAUCCCGUCGCUCAACGACGGAACUGCCUUUGAUACUGGUUGACUUGAGUCAUAUGGAAGUAGAUAGAAUGUGUAGUGUAGCGGUGAAAUGCAUAGAGAUUACACAGAAUACCGAUUGCGAAGGCAGUCUACUACGUAUGUACUGACGCUCAUGGACGAAAGCGUGGGGAGCGAACAGGAUUAGAUACCCUGGUAGUCCACGCCGUAAACGAUGGAUACUAGUUGUUGGGCAUUAGCUCAGUGACUAAGCGAAAGUGAUAAGUAUCCCACCUGGGGA